GACUUUGUAAACUUGAACUCUGAUUAAUAUUAAUCUGGGGCUUUUUUUAUUUUCUUUUAGUUUUGGGGUGAAAUCAGAAGCUAUUUUUUUGUGGGCCCCAGUUUUUAAUGUUUAUAGAGCAAGCCGGAUUAGUACCCGGUUAGAUAAAGGUUAAAAAAGCAGGAGUAAAGUAGUAUUUAAACUGUAAGAGUAUUGGCAGGUUCUUAAAUUAUCUUUGGAGGUUGAGUAGUAAUUGAGACCCCUCAUUAGCAACUUUUAUUUUUGGCGCAUGUAUGAUCGUUUAUUUUAUUCUUAGGGGUUGUAAUUUUAGUUUUAUUGCUGUAAAAAUAGAUAGGUAUCUGGUCUAUGUAAAAGAUUUAAUUUGACCUACAAUAUUUAAGAAUGUGGAUUCCUGGGGGAGCCCCCAGGGUUGAAAAUGUAAAAGACAGUAAAUCACUUUUUAUAGGUGUUUGAAGUUUAUUUAAGAAC
RNAcentral lists this ribosomal RNA (468 nucleotides) under Raphidascaroides nipponensis. Its description in RNAcentral is "partial 12S ribosomal RNA". Lineage: Eukaryota; Metazoa; Nematoda; Chromadorea; Rhabditida; Anisakidae. The record is from RNAcentral.